Capsicum annuum is the source of this 2357-nucleotide RNA transcript. It is a transcript of the gene named imidazole glycerol phosphate synthase hisHF, chloroplastic, with no coding region annotated. NCBI's taxonomy places the organism in Eukaryota, Viridiplantae, Streptophyta, Magnoliopsida, Solanales, Solanaceae. The record is from RefSeq and is a predicted model, not a curated record. The transcript has 19 exons.
CCAACAGUUGAAAGAACGAGCGAGAAAAGCAACAUAAAUUUAAAGAUGGACCAAAAGUGCAGACACACAAUAUAAAAGAGCAAAGUACUAUUUACUCAAACCCAAAAUAAAGGACUAUUUUAAGCCUUUUCUCUCAAAAGUAGCGUUUUCCUUGCCUUGAAAAAUUCCAGCUAAAUUACCAUACCAUAAAUAUAAUUUACAUUUACUUACACUUUGUCAACCAAGCAAAACCAGAGCUCGAAGAAGCGAAAAUGGAGGCGGCUACUUUCACUUCUACUACAGCUUCAUCUUCAACGACGUCGUUUUCUUCCUUCUCUUCAACUUCUCAAUCUCUUCGCUUUCUGCGUUACAAGCCAAAUGCAAAACCUCUAAAUUACAAAUCUUCUAGAACCUUCUCUGUCCGUGCCUCCGCCGAUGAUUCUGUGGUAACUCUACUUGAUUAUGGUGCUGGCAAUGUGAGAAGUCUCAGGAAUGCUAUUAAGUAUCUCGGUUUCGAUAUCAUUGAUGUCCAUACACCCGAGGACAUUUUGAAAGCAAAACAACUCAUUUUUCCUGGAGUUGGUGCUUUUGCUCCUGCCAUGGAUGUGCUAAACAACAAGGGAAUGGCUGAAGCACUUUGUACUUACAUUGAGCAAGAUCGCCCAUUCCUCGGCAUCUGUCUUGGACUGCAGCUACUUUUUGAGUCAAGUGAAGAAAAUGGACCAGUAAAGGGUCUUGGUUUGAUUCCCGGAGUAGUUGGACGUUUUGACUCUUCUAAAGGCAUCAGAGUACCUCAUAUUGGCUGGAAUGCACUUGAAAUAGCAAAAGAUAUCCAAAUUUUGGAUGACAUUGGAAAGUCCCAUGUCUAUUUCGUACAUUCUUAUCGGGCAAUGCCGUCAGAUCAAAAUAGAGAGUGGAUCUCAUCGACCUGCAACUAUGGUGACAAUUUCAUAGCAUCCAUUCAGAGAGGAAAUGUCCACGCAGUUCAGUUUCAUCCUGAGAAGAGUGGUGAUGUUGGCCUUUCUGUAUUGAGGAGGUUCUUGAAUCCAAAAUCUGGGAAAACACAGAAGCUAGUCCAAGGGAAUGCCUCUAAACUUGCAAAACGGGUUAUUGCAUGUCUUGAUGUGAGGACAAAUGAUAAAGGUGAUCUGGUUGUAACCAAAGGAGACCAAUAUGAUGUUAGAGAACAUACAAAAGAAAAUGAGGUGAGAAACCUUGGCAAGCCAGUGGAUCUUGCUGGACAGUAUUACAAGGAUGGGGCAGAUGAGGUUAGCUUUUUAAAUAUUACUGCUUUCCGAGACUUCCCCUUGGGCGAUCUGCCAAUGUUGCAGGUAUUGAGAUAUGCAUCAGAGAAUGUUUUUGUGCCAUUAACCGUUGGAGGUGGUAUUAGAGACUUCAAAGACGGCAAUGGCAGAUACUACUCUAGUUUAGAAGUUGCUUCAGAAUAUUUUCGUUCUGGAGCAGACAAAAUUUCUAUCGGAAGUGAUGCCGUUUAUGCUGCGGAAGAAUACUUAAAAUCUGGAGUGAAAACUGGAAAGAGCAGUCUAGAGCAGAUCUCCCGAGUUUAUGGCAAUCAGGCAGUAGUUGUAAGCAUUGAUCCUCGAAGGGUGUACGUAAAGGACCCCAAGGCUGUGGAAUUCAAGACUGUGAAAGUGAGAAACCCAGGUCCAAAUGGAGAAGAAUAUGCAUGGUACCAGUGCACGGUGAGUGGUGGGAGAGAAGGCCGUCCUAUUGGAGCUUAUGAGCUUGCGAAAGCUGUUGAAGAAUUGGGAGCUGGGGAGAUACUGCUAAACUGCAUUGAUUGUGAUGGUCAAGGGAAGGGAUUUGAUAUAGACCUAAUUAAGUUGAUUUCAGAUGCUGUAAGCAUUCCUGUGAUUGCAAGCAGUGGAGCUGGAGCUGUUGAACACUUCACAGAGGUCUUCAGAGAAACAAAUGCAUCUGCUGCCCUUGCUGCUGGAAUUUUCCAUAGAAAGGAGGUGAGUUGACUAUAUUAAACAGAUGCCUUCUUCGUGUGCCUUUAAGUUGAUCAAUAUUCAGAGUAUUGGUGAGCUCGAUAACAAAAGAGAUUGACUCACAAAAGCUAGAUGAAAAAGCACGUGAAUCCUUGGAUAAUCAAUGAACGGUGGAUGCCGAUGUAUCUGCUGACAGUAUGCACCUAUUCGGAGAAAGCAGAUACCGACUGUUUGGGUUUAAUGAGCAAAGCCUCACCUAUAAGAAGUGUAUGUUCAAGUGAUAUACAUACCAGCCUGUAUGGUACAAGGGGGUGCAGUAUGGAGUGUUUAAAACUUAAAAACAUUGUUGAACUAUACUGUUCAAAACUAAGUCCUGUAACAUACAACAAUUCCGGAAUAAAGCAUUCUUAAGUUACCAGUUGUAAC